Molecule: long non-coding RNA, 471 nt
Filed under: Neogale vison (American mink)
Lineage: Eukaryota; Metazoa; Chordata; Mammalia; Carnivora; Mustelidae
Description: Neovison vison (American mink) lncRNA (ENSNVIG00000022471.1)
Source: RNAcentral
UUCCUCCCCCCCUAAAUCCACAGGGUCUCCUGUAGAACCAACCACGUGGAAAAACUUAGUGCUGUAUUUCCAUUUUGCACCAGGAGUCUCUCCUUGUUUGGCCGGGCUGGUGCUUGACACAAGGUUUCUGAAGCUCUGCAUCUGCCCACUGAAAGACGGGCAAAGAAAGAAGGAAAAAAGGUUUAUACACUUACUCUUUGCUGAGCACUGGAGAAAGCCUGAGUCUAUGAAAAGUGAUGCCUUUGUUGCCUUGCUCUCAAGAUGCCACCUCUUUGAGAAAACCAAACUAAAAAGCCCCGAAAAAUAAGUCACAGAGAAUGAGAUAUGACAAAGCUGGAUGAGACCACAUGUCAGUGACAGACCUAAGGUAAAGACCUCCCAUUCCUCACUGUGAUGCAGGUAAGUGGCCUCGCUGUGACUUCCGUCAGUCAUGCCUCUCCAUUUCCCAGCUUUGGUCUUUGUAAAGCGCAG